AUACCCAAUGACGUCUCUAGAAGACAUCUGAAAGAGAUUAAAGAUUUAUCGGUGAUGGAUGGGGAUGCGUCUGAUUAGCUUGUUGGCGGGGUAACGGCCCACCAAGGCAACGAUCAGUAGGGGUUCUGAGAGGAAGGUCCCCCACAUUGGAACUGAGACACGGUCCAAACUCCUACGGGAGGCAGCAGUGAGGAAUAUUGGUCAAUGGACGAGAGUCUGAACCAGCCAAGUAGGGUGCAGGAAGACGGCCCUAUGGGUUGUAAACUGCUUUUAUAAGGGAAUAAAGUGAGUCUCGUGAGACUUUUUGCAUGUACCUUAUGAAUAAGGACCGGCUAAUUCCGUGCCAGCAGCCGCGGUAAUACGGAAGGUCCGGGCGUUAUCCGGAUUUAUUGGGUUUAAAGGGAGCGUAGGCCGGAGAUUAAGCGUGUUGUGAAAUGUAGACGCUCAACGUCUGCACUGCAGCGCGAACUGGUUUUCUUGAGUACGCACAAAGUGGGCGGAAUUCGUGGUGUAGCGGUGAAAUGCUUAGAUAUC
This 534-nucleotide ribosomal RNA is filed under the name uncultured Prevotella sp. Its description in RNAcentral is "bacterial SSU rRNA". It matches the Rfam family "Bacterial small subunit ribosomal RNA", at positions 166 to 698 of the family's 1533-position model. The record is from RNAcentral. Lineage: Bacteria; Pseudomonadati; Bacteroidota; Bacteroidia; Bacteroidales; Prevotellaceae.